GCUCCCAUGGCGUAGUGGUCACUGCGCUCGCCUUGCACGCGGGAGACCCGGGUCCGAUCCCCGGCGGGGUCA
RNAcentral lists this transfer RNA (72 nucleotides) under Diaphorina citri (Asian citrus psyllid). It matches the Rfam family "tRNA". From Rfam's summary of the family: Transfer RNA (tRNA) molecules are approximately 80 nucleotides in length. Their secondary structure includes four short double-helical elements and three loops (D, anti-codon, and T loops). Lineage: Eukaryota; Metazoa; Arthropoda; Insecta; Hemiptera; Psyllidae. The record is from Rfam by way of RNAcentral.